Molecule: transfer RNA, 75 nt
Filed under: Liquorilactobacillus hordei
Lineage: Bacteria; Bacillati; Bacillota; Bacilli; Lactobacillales; Lactobacillaceae
Description: tRNA-Asn
Rfam family: tRNA
About the family: Transfer RNA (tRNA) molecules are approximately 80 nucleotides in length. Their secondary structure includes four short double-helical elements and three loops (D, anti-codon, and T loops).
Source: RNAcentral
UGCUCAGUAGUUCAGUGGUAGAAUAAUUGACUGUUAAUCAAGAGGUCGUAGGUUCGAACCCUACCUGAGCAGCUA